GUGGAGGAGGCUUUCUGUAAUACCUGGAAGCUGACCGACAGAACUUUGAUGAGUACAUGAAGGCUCUAGGGAUGGGCUUUGUCACUAGGCAGGUGGGAAAUGUGGACAAACCAAGAGUGAUUAUCAGUCAAGAAGAAGACAAAAGGUGGUGAUCAGGAUUCAAAGUAUGUUCAAGAACACAGAGGUUAGUUUCCAUCUGGGAGAAGAGUUUGAUGAAACCACUACAGAUGACAGAAACUGCAAGUUUGUUGUUAGUCUGGACAGAGACAAACUCAUUCACAUACAGAAAUGGGAUGACAAAGAAACAUAUUUUAUAAGAGAAAUUAAGUAUGGUGAAAUGGUUAUGACUUACUUUUGGUGAUGAUGUGGUUGCCGUUCACCACUAUAAGAA
This 391-nucleotide long non-coding RNA is filed under the name Homo sapiens (human). RNAcentral describes it as "non-protein coding lnc-CEP170-12:1". The record is from RNAcentral. Lineage: Eukaryota; Metazoa; Chordata; Mammalia; Primates; Hominidae.